UGGCUCAGAUUGAACGCUGGCGGCAGGCCUAACACAUGCAAGUCGAACGGUAACAGNGGAGCAGCUUGCUGCUCUGCUGACGAGUGGCGGACGGGUGAGUAAUGUCUGGGAAACUGCCUGAUGGAGGGGGAUAANUACUGGAAACGGUAGCUAAUACCGCAUAACGUCUUCGGACCAAAGUGGGGGACCUUCGGGCCUCAUGCCAUCAGAUGUGCCCAGAUGGGAUUAGCUAGUAGGUGGGGUAAAGGCUCACCUAGGCGACGAUCCCUAGCUGGUCUGAGAGGAUGACCAGCCACACUGGAACUGAGACACGGUCCAGACUCCUACGGGAGGCAGCAGUGGGGAAUAUUGCACAAUGGGCGCAAGCCUGAUGCAGCCAUGCCGCGUGUAUGAAGAAGGCCUUCGGGUUGUAAAGUACUUUCAGCGAGGAGGAAGGGAUUGUGGUUAAUAACCGCAGUCAUUGACGUUACUCGCAGAAGAAGCACCGGCUAACUCCGUGCCAGCAGCCGCGGUAAUACGGAGGGUGCAAGCGUUAAUCGGAAUUACUGGGCGUAAAGCGCACGCAGGCGGUUUGUUAAGUCAGAUGUGAAAUCCCCGGGCUCAACCUGGGAACUGCAUUUGAAACUGGCAGGCUUGAGUCUCGUAGAGGGGGGUAGAAUUCCAGGUGUAGCGGUGAAAUGCGUAGAGAUCUGGAGGAAUACCGGUGGCGAAGGCGGCCCCCUGGACGAAGACUGACGCUCAGGUGCGAAAGCGUGGGGAGCAAACAGGAUUAGAUACCCUGGUAGUCCACGCCGUAAACGAUGUCGACUUGGAGGUUGUGCCCUUGAGGCGUGGCUUCCGGAGCUAACGCGUUAAGUCGACCGCCUGGGGAGUACGGCCGCAAGGUUAAAACUCAAAUGAAUUGACGGGGGCCCGCACAAGCGGUGGAGCAUGUGGUUUAAUUCGAUGCAACGCGAAGAACCUUACCUGGUCUUGACAUCCAGAGAAUCCUGCAGAGAUGCGGGAGUGCCUUCGGGAACUCUGAGACAGGUGCUGCAUGGCUGUCGUCAGCUCGUGUUGUGAAAUGUUGGGUUAAGUCCCGCAACGAGCGCAACCCUUAUCCUUUGUUGCCAGCACGUGAUGGUGGGAACUCAAAGGAGACUGCCGGUGAUAAACCGGAGGAAGGUGGGGAUGACNUCNAGUCAUCAUGGCCCUUAC
This 1197-nucleotide ribosomal RNA is filed under the name Cronobacter turicensis. RNAcentral's name for it is "bacterial SSU rRNA". It matches the Rfam family "Bacterial small subunit ribosomal RNA", at positions 20 to 1205 of the family's 1533-position model. Lineage: Bacteria; Pseudomonadati; Pseudomonadota; Gammaproteobacteria; Enterobacterales; Enterobacteriaceae. The record is from RNAcentral.